UCAGCGAUGGAUAUCUUGGCUCGGGCACCUGUGAAGGGCGCAGCGAAGCGCGAUAGUCUUUGUGACCUGCAGAACUCCGUGAACCAAUCGCCUCCUGAACGUGCCUUGCACUCUUGGGAUUUCCUGAGAGUAUG
This 134-nucleotide ribosomal RNA is filed under the name Symbiodinium sp. One0410-11. Its description in RNAcentral is "5.8S ribosomal RNA". It matches the Rfam family "5.8S ribosomal RNA", at positions 6 to 139 of the family's 154-position model. From Rfam's summary of the family: 5.8S ribosomal RNA (5.8S rRNA) is a component of the large subunit of the eukaryotic ribosome. It is transcribed by RNA polymerase I as part of the 45S precursor that also contains 18S and 28S rRNA. Functionally, it is thought that 5.8S rRNA may be involved in ribosome translocation. The record is from RNAcentral. Lineage: Eukaryota; Dinophyceae; Suessiales; Symbiodiniaceae.